RNAcentral lists this ribosomal RNA (508 nucleotides) under uncultured bacterium. Its description in RNAcentral is "partial 16S ribosomal RNA". It matches the Rfam family "Bacterial small subunit ribosomal RNA", at positions 30 to 523 of the family's 1533-position model. The record is from RNAcentral.
AUUGAACGCUGGCGGCAUGCCUUACACAUGCAAGUCGAACGGAAGCGGGGGAGAAGCUUGCUUUUCCUGCCGGCGAGUGGCGAACGGGUGAGUAAUACAUCGGAACGUGCCCUGUAGUGGGGGAUAACUAGUCGAAAGAUUAGCUAAUACCGCAUACGACCUGAGGGUGAAAGUGGGGGACCGCAAGGCCUCAUGCUAUAGGAGCGGCCGAUGUCUGUUUAGCUAGUUGGUGGGGUAAAGGCCUACCAAGGCGACGAUCAGUAGCUGGGCUGAGAGGACGAUCAGCCACACUGGGACUGAGACACGGCCCAGACUCCUACGGGAGGCAGCAGUGGGGAAUUUUGGACAAUGGGCGAAAGCCUGAUCCAGCAAUGCCGCGUGUGUGAAGAAGGCCUUCGGGUUGUAAAGCACUUUUGUCCGGAAAGAAAUGGCUCUGGUUAAUACCUGGGGUCGAUGACGGUACCGGAAGAAUAAGGACCGGCUAACUACGUGCCAGCCGCCGCCGUAA